AAUAGGUUUCUCUGUACUUCCUGGUUGGGUGUCGCUCCCAGGUGGUGGGUGUGUCACUUUAGAGCGCAGCUGGUAGUUAUUUAUUGAGCUGGGGUCACGUAUUUAAGCAGUGGCCUCCCCCCUGCUUCUUGCUCUCCUUCCGUUGUGUCACUUCCGGGUCAUAGGUGUUGUUUUGCUGUCUGCGACAGGUACGUUUACUCUUGCUUCAACUCACUGGUUACUGGUCGUACUGAUUGAAUGCUUACGGCGUUUAUUUUGCGCUACAGAGUUGUGGGUGCGCCCCGCCGUUGAGUGCGUCUUUGGCUUGUGUGCCGCUCGCUUGGUUUCGCUGUGUUGCUGAGGUCGGUGGCGGUGCUGGUGGCGGGAUUCCCCCCCCUUUUUUUUGUUGUGUGCUGUGCUCCCUGGGAUUCAAGUUGUCACAACCGUGUGUGUGUGUGUGUCACGUGGGCGUGGGUGAUUUCUUGGUUUACUGGGUGACUUCCUCCCCACUGGCCCCUGUCCAUCCGGUAAGCCUCAGCCCUGAUUAGGUUCCCCUUUCCCUCCCUGUAUGAAUGGUGUUUUCUAAUGGUGUAUUAAAAAUAUUUUAAUAGUUGAGUGUAAAAUAAAGAUCUAUUUUCUUUACAAAUUGGAA
Long non-coding RNA from Anguilla rostrata (American eel), 631 nucleotides. RefSeq lists it as uncharacterized. The record is from RefSeq and is a predicted model, not a curated record. The transcript has 2 exons. NCBI's taxonomy places the organism in Eukaryota, Metazoa, Chordata, Actinopteri, Anguilliformes, Anguillidae.